Phrynosoma platyrhinos (Desert horned lizard) is the source of this 77-nucleotide non-coding RNA. Lineage: Eukaryota; Metazoa; Chordata; Lepidosauria; Squamata; Phrynosomatidae. The record is from the annotation of a GenBank genome assembly.
GCCAGUGUGGUUUAGGGGUUUGAGUGUUGGACUACAACUCUGAGGAUCUGGGUUUGAUUACUAGCCCAGCCAUGGAA